GAUGAACGCUGGCGGCGUGCCUAAUACAUGCAAGUCGAGCGAACGGACGAGAAGCUUGCUUCUCUGAUGUUAGCUGCGGACGGGUGAGUAACACGUGGAUAACCUACCUAUAAGACUGGGAUAACUUCGGGAAACCGGAGCUAAUACCGGAUAAUAUUUUGAACCGCAUGGUUCAAAAGUUAAAGACGGUCUUGCUGUCACUUAUAGAUGGAUCCGCGCUGCAUUAGCUAGUUGGUAAGGUAACGGCUUACCAAGGCAACGAUGCAUAGCCGACCUGAGAGGGUGAUCGGCGACACUGGAACUGAGACACGGUCCUGACUCCUACGGGAGGCAGCAGUAGCGAAUCUUCCGCAAUGGGCGAAAGCCUGACGGAGCAACGCCGCGUGAGUGAUGAAGGUCUUCGGAUCGUAAAACUCUGUUAUUAGGGAAGAACAUAUGUGUAAGUAACUGUGCACAUCUUGACGGUACCUAAUCAGAAAGCCACGGCUAACUAAGUG
RNAcentral lists this ribosomal RNA (497 nucleotides) under uncultured bacterium. Its description in RNAcentral is "partial 16S ribosomal RNA". It matches the Rfam family "Bacterial small subunit ribosomal RNA", at positions 28 to 507 of the family's 1533-position model. The record is from RNAcentral.